This 309-nucleotide ribosomal RNA is filed under the name uncultured bacterium. RNAcentral describes it as "bacterial SSU rRNA". It matches the Rfam family "Bacterial small subunit ribosomal RNA", at positions 201 to 507 of the family's 1533-position model. The record is from RNAcentral.
UUAAAGAUUUAUCGGUGUACCGAUGGGGAUGCGUUCCAUUAGGUAGUAGGCGGGGUAACGGCCCACCUAGCCUACGAUGGAUAGGGGGUUCUGAGAGGAAGGUCCCCCCACAUUGGAACUGAGACACGGUCCAAACUCCUACGGGAGGCAGCAGUGAGGAAUAUUGGUCAAUGGACGAGAGUCUGAACCAGCCAAGUAGCGUGAAGGAUGAAGGUCCUACGGAUUGUAAACUUCUUUUAUAAGGGAAUAAAACCUCCCACGUGUGGGAGCUUGUAUGUACCUUAUGAAUAAGCAUCGGCUAACUCCGUG